Molecule: ribosomal RNA, 519 nt
Filed under: uncultured eukaryote
Lineage: Eukaryota
Description: SSU rRNA
Rfam family: Eukaryotic small subunit ribosomal RNA
Source: RNAcentral
AGGGCACCACCAGGAGUGGAGCCUGCAGCUUAAUUUGACUCAACACGGGAAAACUCACCCGGCCCGGACACCGUAAGGAUUGACAGAUUGAGAGCUCUUUCUUGAUUCGGUGGUUGGUGGUGCAUGGCCGUUCUUAGUUGGUGGAGCGAUUUGUCUGGUUUAUUCCGAUAACGAACGAGACUCUGGCCUACUAAAUAGAGACAGGAUUAUUACUGUCCUGGAUUCUUCUUAGAGGGACAAGUGGUUUUCAGCCACACGAAAUUGAGCAAUAACAGGUCUGUGAUGCCCUUAGAUGUCCGGGGCUGCACGCGCGCUACACUGAAGGAAUCAGCGUGCUAAAACCAUUGUCGAAAGGCAUUGGUAAACCCCUCAAAAUCCUACGUGAUUGGGAUCGGGAAUUGCAAUUAUUUCCCUUGAACGAGGAAUUCCCAGUAAGUGUGGGUCAUAAGCUCGCGUUGAUUACGUCCCUGCCCUUUGUACACACCGCCCGUCGCUGCCCGGGACUGAGCCGUUUCGAGA